Molecule: ribosomal RNA, 515 nt
Filed under: uncultured bacterium
Lineage: Bacteria
Description: partial 16S ribosomal RNA
Rfam family: Bacterial small subunit ribosomal RNA
Source: RNAcentral
GAUGAACGCUGGCGGCGUGCCUAAUACAUGCAAGUCGAGCGAAUAGAUUAAGAGCUUGCUCUUAUGAGGUUAGCGGCGGACGGGUGAGUAAAACGUGGGUAACCUGCCCAUAAGACUGGGAUAAAUCCGGGAAAACGGGGCUCAUACCGGAUAACAUUUUGAACCGCAUGGUUCGAAAUUGAAAGGCGGCGCCGGCUGUCACUUAUGGAUUGACCCGCGUCGCAUUAGCUAGUUGGUGAGGUAACGGCUCACCAAGGCAACGAUGCGUAGCCGACCUGAGAGGGUGAUCGGCCACACUGGGACUGAGACACGGCCCAGACUCCUACGGGAGGCAGCAGUAGGGAAUCUUCCGCAAUGGACGAAAGUCGGACGGAGCAACGCCGCGUGAGUGAUGAAGGCUUUCGGGUCGUAAAACUCUGUUGUUAGGGAAGAACAAGUGCUAGUUGAAUAAGCUGGCACCUUGACGGUACCUAACCAGAAAGCCACGGCUAACUACGUGCCAGCAGCAGCCGCGG